RNAcentral lists this ribosomal RNA (253 nucleotides) under uncultured bacterium. RNAcentral describes it as "partial 16S ribosomal RNA". It matches the Rfam family "Bacterial small subunit ribosomal RNA", at positions 524 to 776 of the family's 1533-position model. The record is from RNAcentral.
UACGUAGGGUGCAAGCGUUGUCCGGAAUUAUUGGGCGUAAAGAGCUUGUAGGCGGUUUGUCGCGUCUGCUGUGAAAUUUCGGGGCUCAACCCCGAACUUGCAGUGGGUACGGGCAGACUAGAGUGUGGUAGGGGAGACUGGAAUUCCUGGUGUAGCGGUGAAAUGCGCAGAUAUCAGGAGGAACACCGGUGGCGAAGGCGGCUCACUGGCCCGGUACUGACGCUGAGGCACGAAAGCGUGGGGAGCAAACAGG